AGCACAUCAACACACCAAAUGGAGCUGAAGUUUGAAUUUAUGAUCUAAAAGAUGAAGGAGUCACUGGACUGGAGGGUCACAGCUGUCAAGAGAACACACAAGCAAGAGAACACUUGAUUGGCAUGUACUAUGACUGGCUUGCACCCCUAACACUACAAAUACAAAAGUCAAGGGUUUGGGCCAAGCAUCUUUAAAUGCAAAAAUAUCCUUAUUCAACAAAGAUUAAUUAGACAUUGUGGUU
This is a long non-coding RNA of Mastomys coucha (southern multimammate mouse), 241 nucleotides long. RefSeq lists it as uncharacterized. The record is from RefSeq and is a predicted model, not a curated record. The transcript is spliced from 2 exons. Lineage: Eukaryota; Metazoa; Chordata; Mammalia; Rodentia; Muridae.